RNAcentral lists this ribosomal RNA (253 nucleotides) under uncultured bacterium. Its description in RNAcentral is "partial 16S ribosomal RNA". It matches the Rfam family "Bacterial small subunit ribosomal RNA", at positions 524 to 776 of the family's 1533-position model. The record is from RNAcentral.
UACGUAGGUGGCAAGCGUUGUCCGGAAUUAUUGGGCGUAAAGCGCGCGCAGGCGGUCCUUUAAGUCUGAUGUGAAAGCCCACGGCUCAACCGUGGAGGGUCAUUGGAAACUGGGGGACUUGAGUACAGAAGAGGAAAGCGGAAUUCCACGUGUAGCGGUGAAAUGCGUAGAGAUGUGGAGGAACACCAGUGGCGAAGGCGGCUCACUGGUCCGGUACUGACGCUGAGGUGCGAAAGCGUGGGGAGCAAACAGG